CUGGCUCAGGAUGAACGCUAGCGACAGGCUUAACACAUGCAAGUCGAGGGGCAGCACGGGAGUAGCAAUACAACUGGUGGCGACCGGCGCACGGGUGAGUAACGCGUAUGCAACCUACCUAUCAGAGGGGAAUAACCCGGCGAAAGUCGGACUAAUACCGCAUAAAACAGGGGCACCGCAUGGUGAUAUUUGUUAAAGAAAUUCGCUGAUAGAUGGGCAUGCGUUCCAUUAGGUAGUUGGUGAGGUAACGGCUCACCAAGCCGACGAUGGAUAGGGGAACUGAGAGGUUGGUCCCCCACACUGGUACUGAGACACGGACCAGACUCCUACGGGAGGCAGCAGUGAGGAAUAUUGGUCAAUGGGCGGGAGCCUGAACCAGCCAAGUCGCGUGAAGGAAAGAAGGAUCUAUGGUUCGUAAACUUCUUUUGCAGGGGAAUAAAGUGCAGGACGUGUCCUGUUUUGUAUGUACCCUGAGAAUAAGGAUCGGCUAACUCCGUGCCAGCAGCUGC
Molecule: ribosomal RNA, 509 nt
Filed under: uncultured bacterium
Lineage: Bacteria
Description: bacterial SSU rRNA
Rfam family: Bacterial small subunit ribosomal RNA
Source: RNAcentral